CAGUAAUUACUGUGUCAAAUGUGGUUUCUAAAUAGUCUUCACCUAAGAUGCCAUAAUCAAGGCAUCAGUACCAGGACAUUUCAUUCUGGAACACUACAGAAACAGCCUCCCACACAAUAAAGCACUAGAAUACUGAAAACAAGAAAUUGGGAUCACUCUGCACAGGAAAAUACUUUAGGAAGAGGAAUGCAGGGCAUGGAAAACAGUUGACAUCCCUGUGUCUUGUCCUUGUCUCUGGCUCCACAGGUGGCAGGGUGGAGAGAGCUCUUCCUUUGGCCCACAUGAGGAGAAAAGAGCUGAUUGCCAGUGCCAAAGGAACACAGGACUGGUCCAACCUUUUACAUCCAAAUAAGAUCUGACACUGCAAGACCACAGGCUACCUGGCUGAGGGAGAGCAGUUGGUCAGCAAGAAGCACCAAGUGAUGGGAAAGGAAAAUUUGGCAAAUGGUCAGGGAAGAUUUUACUUGUCAAAAAAAAAAAAAAAUCCUUUGGAUCAUGACAGCUGGAUCAUGGCUGAUUUACGAACAGCAGCAAAAAGCCAUCUUAACACCAAUCUAACCAACUACACAGACAGUGAUUUCACACCUUGGUAUGAGUUGGCACAGCA
Long non-coding RNA from Gymnogyps californianus (California condor), 607 nucleotides. RefSeq lists it as uncharacterized. The record is from RefSeq and is a predicted model, not a curated record. Lineage: Eukaryota; Metazoa; Chordata; Aves; Accipitriformes; Cathartidae. The transcript has 4 exons.